This 866-nucleotide ribosomal RNA is filed under the name uncultured archaeon. Its description in RNAcentral is "bacterial SSU rRNA". It matches the Rfam family "Archaeal small subunit ribosomal RNA", at positions 4 to 872 of the family's 1478-position model. The record is from RNAcentral.
UCGGUUGAUCCUGCCGGAGGCUACUGCUAUCGGGGUUCGAUUAAGCCAUGCGAGUUAAAUGUUCUUCGUGAACAUAGCGAACUGCUCAGUAACACGUGGAUAACCUACCCUUAGGACCGGAAUAACCCCGGGAAACUGGGGAUAAUACCGGAUAAGCCAUAGACGCUGGAAUGCCCUAUGGUUCAAAGCUCCGGCGCCUAAGGAUGGAUCUGCGGUCUAUCAGGUUGUAGUGGGUGUAACGUACCUACUAGCCGACGACGGAUACGGGUUGUGAGAGCAAGAGCCCGGAGAUGGAUUCUGAGACACGAAUCCAGGCCCUACGGGGUGCAGCAGGCGCGAACACUUUGCAAUGCGGGAAACCGCGAUAAGGGAACCCCGAGUGCCAGCAUCAAAUGUUGGCUGUCCAGAUGAUUAAAAAUCAUUUGUUAGCAAGGGCCGGGCAAGACCGGUGCCAGCCGCCGCGGUAACACCGGCGGCCCGAGUGGUAGCCGUUUUUAUUGGGUCUAAAGGGUCCGUAGCCGGCCUGAUAAGUCCUUUGGGAAAUCUGGCAGCUUAACUGUCAGGCUUCUAAGGGAUACUGUCAGGCUUGGGACCGGAAGAGGUAAGGGGUACUCCAGGGGUAGGAGUGAAAUCUUGUAAUCCCUGGGGGACCAUCUGUGGCGAAGGCGCCUUACCAGAACGGGUCCGACGGUGAGGGANGAAAGCUAGGGGAGCAAACCGGNNUAGAUACCCGGGUAGUCCUAGCUGUAAACGAUGCUCGCUAGGUGUCAGACACGGUGCGACCGUGUUUGGUGCCGCAGGGNANCCGCUAAGCGAGCCACCUGGGAAGUACGGUCGCAAGGCUGAAACUUAAAGGAAUUGGNNGG